This 341-nucleotide long non-coding RNA is filed under the name Mytilus galloprovincialis (Mediterranean mussel). Lineage: Eukaryota; Metazoa; Mollusca; Bivalvia; Mytilida; Mytilidae. The record is from RNAcentral.
GUCAGUACAAAAGUGACAUAAUUGAUAUCUUUGCUGUCUAUGACGAAAUAUCAUUAGAAUGUGGUGCACAUUGAAUAACACUCGUAGCGUGCUGUUAAAAAGAGUGCACAACAUUUUAAGAUUAUUUCGAAUAGACACAAAAAGUAUAAGCUAUACCUGGUGAGUUUUAUAUAGACGAAGCACGCAUCAUGCGUACACAACUUUCAUUCUGGUAUAUAUGAUGGCUUUAUUUUCUUUUCAUUCUGUUAUAACUUUUUACGUGUAUACCAUGUAUACCUUUCAUUUAUAAUCCGUGGCUUUAAAGGGUUAUAAGUGUUGAAAACUUAUCAGGAAGUUCACAC